This 253-nucleotide ribosomal RNA is filed under the name uncultured bacterium. Its description in RNAcentral is "partial 16S ribosomal RNA". It matches the Rfam family "Bacterial small subunit ribosomal RNA", at positions 524 to 776 of the family's 1533-position model. The record is from RNAcentral.
UACGUAGGGUGCAAGCGUUGUCCGGAAUUAUUGGGCGUAAAGAGCUCGUAGGCGGCUUGUCACGUCGGGUGUGAAAGCCCGGGGCUUAACCCCGGGUCUGCAUUCGAUACGGGCAGGCUAGAGUGUGGUAGGGGAGAUCGGAAUUCCUGGUGUAGCGGUGAAAUGCGUAGAUAUCAGGAGGAACACCGGUGGCGAAGGCGGAUCUCUGGGCCAUUACUGACGCUGAGGAGCGAAAGCGUGGGGAGCGAACAGG